UACGUAGGGUGCAAGCGUUGUUCGGAAUUAUUGGGCGUAAAGCGCGUGUAGGUGGCUAGUAAAGUCGGGUGUGAAAGCCCUGGGCUCAACCCGGGAAGUGCAUUCGAUACUGGCUGGCUAGAAGAUGGUAGAGGUAGGUGGAAUUCCAAGUGUAGAGGUGAAAUUCGUAGAUAUUUGGAGGAAUACCGGCGGCGAAGGCGGCCUACUGGGCCAUUCUUGACACUGAGACGCGAAAGCGUGGGGAGCAAAC
RNAcentral lists this ribosomal RNA (250 nucleotides) under uncultured bacterium. RNAcentral describes it as "partial 16S ribosomal RNA". It matches the Rfam family "Bacterial small subunit ribosomal RNA", at positions 524 to 773 of the family's 1533-position model. The record is from RNAcentral.